AGUGCCUUAAGUAAAAAGGAUAAUAGGGAAGUUAGGUGAGAAACCUACGCAGCCCCGCUACUGUAAAUGGGAUGAAAUAGCAUUUGGCAUUGUUUCUUGAAAUAAAGGAAUGAGAAGCCGCUAGAGUAAAAUGAUCAUGAGCCAGGAUACCUGCUUUUAC
Molecule: non-coding RNA, 160 nt
Filed under: Kurthia senegalensis
Lineage: Bacteria; Bacillati; Bacillota; Bacilli; Caryophanales; Caryophanaceae
Source: RNAcentral